AACGGUCUAUACCUGCGGUACCUGCGGAGGGAUCAUUAAAAAUGCUGGGCUCUCUCCCGUAAGGGGGGUUGCUCUAACUUUUUAUUCUGUGCACCGUUUAAUUUGGGGGGCUGAAUUCAUUUUCGGUCACCCGCCCUGGGUUGGUUCGCUGUCUCCUUUGGGGGACUGGUCGGCCGCCCAGACAAACUAUUAUACUAUUAUGACUGAACCAUAACAGAAAAUUGUUAACAUAUAAACAAC
This 240-nucleotide unclassified non-coding RNA is filed under the name soil metagenome. RNAcentral's name for it is "partial contains 5.8S ribosomal RNA, internal transcribed spacer 2, and large subunit ribosomal RNA". The record is from RNAcentral.